GUCCCCUGGCACGCUCACUGUCCUCCUCUCAGCCUUCACUCCUCUGAUCCCUCCUGGCGACCUCGGGGCCCACGAGGCUGACCCGGUCCACCGGAGCCUCUCCCUCCUCAAGAAUGUUCUCCUCCUCCCCACCCGAGCAUCCCCCAGCGCACGGUCAUGCCCCGGGCAUCAGGAAAGACCACGCCCCUCCUCGAUGCCCAUUUCUAACAUUCUGCUCUCUCAUCACCUCAAGGCCAUGCCCUGGUCGUCCAGCUCCCUCCCUCUAAUGCCUCUGCACCCACAGCCUUCAGCCUCUUGGAGACCUCUGGCCCACCGACCCCACAGCCUUCCUCACCGUCCACUAGGCCCCGCCUUACCCAGCUUACCCAGGCCUAUAAACUGUCCCCCUCAAACACGCCUCCUCUCCUCCUCUCUCCCUCCUCCCUACUCUCCUGGCAGUACCACCAAAUGGACCAACCCUCUGCAGCCUCCACAUCUCUAUCUCCUCUCUCCUCUACCUACAAUAGCGUUCCAUGCGCACUGGCAGCCACUCUUCUCACGGUGUUCAGUGAUCAUUGGGAAAAGAGAAUAGAUCACGUGGGAACUCUCACCACUUCCCAGCAACGCUGGCUCUGGGCUUCUGUUCUCUUCAGUUCCUCUGAAGGAAGUGACCUAAUCCUAUGAGGCCAGGCUCUUCAGCUGGAUCCCUUGGCCAUCUUCUGGAGAGUUAGCUAAUCUCUCUUUCCUAAAAAGAAAAUGCAAAUCCUAAAGCCUUGGCUUUGUGAUCUGGCUUUACCAUGGGAAGCCUUGUGUCAGCAUGAAGGACAAGCAAAAGAAAAGAAUAUUCUGUUCCAACCUCACGGGAGUAGAAGACAGACACACAGAGGCAGUGGCAGAUGGAG
RNAcentral lists this long non-coding RNA (881 nucleotides) under Equus caballus (horse). RNAcentral's name for it is "lncRNA (ENSECAG00000050777.1)". Lineage: Eukaryota; Metazoa; Chordata; Mammalia; Perissodactyla; Equidae. The record is from RNAcentral.